RNAcentral lists this transfer-messenger RNA (331 nucleotides) under Candidatus Competibacteraceae bacterium. RNAcentral describes it as "partial transfer-messenger RNA". It matches the Rfam family "transfer-messenger RNA". From Rfam's summary of the family: Bacterial tmRNA, also known as 10Sa RNA or SsrA, is named for its dual tRNA and mRNA-like properties. Its role is to liberate the mRNA from a stalled ribosome. The record is from RNAcentral. Lineage: Bacteria; Pseudomonadati; Pseudomonadota; Gammaproteobacteria; Candidatus Competibacteraceae.
GGAUGCUGUCACGACGGGAGUGGCGUACCGAGGGUCCGGGUGGCCUCGUAAAAACCCGGAAACACCAUAACUGCCGAUAAGCAGUUCGCACUGGCUGCCUGAUAGCGUAGCCACGCCGACCGUCCUUCGUCUGCGGGGGCGGAAGGCGAUACACAGCAGACUGGUCGCCUCGGGAUGCUCUGCCCCGAACCGACGAGACAACAGCCGAGCUGGUCGACGCGUAGCCUGGCCGAUGGCGCCGCGAAGACGAGAUCAAAACGUCGGCCUACGCACGUAGAGGCUUCCGCCGGGGUGUCUCGGGACGGGGGUUCGAUUCCCCCCGCCUCCACCA